Molecule: long non-coding RNA, 899 nt
Organism: Corticium candelabrum
Lineage: Eukaryota; Metazoa; Porifera; Homoscleromorpha; Homosclerophorida; Plakinidae
Exons: 3
Source: RefSeq, a predicted model, not a curated record
CAUGCGAGAGGCCGACCUUCGCAAAGAGCUAGGCGACCGCAGUCUCGACAAAACCGGCAACAAGGUUAUUCUCGUUGUGCGUUUUGCCAAGGAUUGUCUUUCACGCCGACGCGUGUGCGUCGUUCUGCACUUAUUUUGCAACUUCUCGUCAAGGCACUGGCUGUAGAGGGGAAAUCGAGUUGAAGGAGAGCGAUAUCAGGCGUUAGGAAGUACGAAAGGUGGAAAAACCACGUCGAGAACGAGAAGCAAAUAUCAGAGUAAUUAUCCGCAAAUUUGGGGACGCCGUUAUGUUGAUUUUGCUGUUUAGAAGACGCGGGCGGAGACAGUGGAAAGACAGAGAAGAGAUUACUCGGCUAAUGUGAAGAACCUGGUGCUGCUAGUGCAGAUGGACUGGCAGGAGACAAAGGUUUCCCAUAUGAAUGUGGACCACAUAGAACUCCAGGUCCAGCAGAACCGAUUGGACCAACCGAAAGUGACGAAAGUCGUGGAAAUCGUAGAGAAUUGGAGCACAGGGAGAUGGGUGAGCAGCAGGAGUGUCAGGACAAACUGGGCAUUGCAGGACUCGAGGGCCCAUAAGGUACAUGUGGUGGGCAUGGGCAACUCAGACCCCUCGGUCUACCAGAAAGAGUCAUGCAUCUGCUGCAUAUGUUGUUCCUGUACGAUCAACACGCAACAAAGGCCUUGCAACCUAUUAAAGGGAUACAGACAGAACAGAUGAAAAAGCUAACUUGGUGAAUAUGUGCGCAUGAAAAUGGUGUCUGGGUAUGCCAGGCCUGUCCUUGAGCUUGUGUUGCAGUCGGUUUGUGAUAAUAGUGCAAAUACUGAUGAGAUAGAUUAGAGUAUAACAAUUAUUGCUGUACUUGUAUUGUGAUAUAUACCAAUGACUGACAAGGAUGUAA